AGUAUGGAAGACUACUCAGGGACAUCUAAACUGGAGCUGAGUGUUGGCGGGAGCAAAUUGGACCAAAAAGACAGCUUCCAGGGGCAGCUAAAACCAUUUUUACCUUGUGGAAACCAAUGUGAUCUAUACUGGACCAGAAGAAAGAACAAGGAACCAACUAGGAGCCAAAGAACAUUGCUGGUCCACCACCAACAGCACCAAGAAAAGGCUUUGUGAAGGCACAGUGAGAAGGUGGCCGUUUACAAGCCAGGAAGAGUUUUCAUCAGCAACCAAAUUUGCUGGCACCUUGAUUAUGGACUUCUAGCCUCCAGAACUGUGAGAAAAUCAAGUUUUGUUGUUUAAGCCACCCAGUCUGUGAUAUUUUGUUAUAGCACCUGAGCACAUUAAUAACAUUUAGUAACA
This is a long non-coding RNA of Zalophus californianus (California sea lion), 402 nucleotides long. RefSeq lists it as uncharacterized. Lineage: Eukaryota; Metazoa; Chordata; Mammalia; Carnivora; Otariidae. The record is from RefSeq and is a predicted model, not a curated record. The transcript is spliced from 3 exons.